This 253-nucleotide ribosomal RNA is filed under the name uncultured bacterium. RNAcentral describes it as "partial 16S ribosomal RNA". It matches the Rfam family "Bacterial small subunit ribosomal RNA", at positions 524 to 776 of the family's 1533-position model. The record is from RNAcentral.
UACGUAGGGUGCGAGCGUUAAUCGGAAUUACUGGGCGUAAAGCGUGCGCAGGCGGUUUUGUAAGUCAGAUGUGAAAUCCCCGGGCUCAACCUGGGAAUGGCAUUUGGGACUGCAAGGCUUGAGUGCGGCAGAGGAGACUGGAAUUCCUGGUGUAGCAGUGAAAUGCGUAGAUAUCAGGAGGAAUACCGAUGGCGAAGGCAGGUCUCUGGGCUGACACUGACGCUCAUGCACGAAAGCGUGGGGAGCAAACAGG